RNAcentral lists this small RNA (630 nucleotides) under Camellia sinensis. RNAcentral describes it as "transcribed RNA". The record is from RNAcentral. Lineage: Eukaryota; Viridiplantae; Streptophyta; Magnoliopsida; Ericales; Theaceae.
UCCAUACACAUGUAUAGAGGGAUGGGAGCAAGCCUUAGGCUUGUAUUUCUAUAUAAGGGGAGGUCCCUCCCCCAUUUUGGGGGUUCAUAAAUUUUAGGAGCAAAAUUUCGCUCUCUCUCUCUCUAGAAUCCUCUCUCUCUUCCUAUUUAGUGUUUGAAAGUGAGUUUCCUUUGCAUAUUUGCACUAGCAUCCUUAGUCAAAUUAGACUACCUUGUAGCUGAGGUUCUUGGAGGUCUUAUUUGAGCUCUCAAAGUUGGUUUUGGUUCAGAAAGUUGACUGUUUUGCUGUUGUGCUUCAAAGGUAAACACUUACCCCUUUUAAGCUUAUUUUUGCACACUAGUUUGGUCACCUUUGCAUGAUGUUUUUGGCCUCCUUUUCAACUACAAAAACCUCUAUUUUUAAGGUUUAAAAAUUAUGGUUUAAGGUCCUUUUGGAGUUGGGGGUGGUCAACCCGCUUUUGUUGCCUAUUUGCUAAGAGUUGUGCUAUCUUUUAAAGCUUUUCAAACAAUUCUUUUUUGGCCCUUUAACCACUGAAUUCUAGAGGAAUAUCAGUGGUAAAACCUUGGUUUUGAGGUCUAAAAUUGGAGGGGGUGUGGCCUCCCCUCCUUGUAUCUUAUUUGCAUGUGUAGA